This 314-nucleotide ribosomal RNA is filed under the name uncultured Erysiphe. RNAcentral describes it as "partial large subunit ribosomal RNA". It matches the Rfam family "Eukaryotic large subunit ribosomal RNA", at positions 40 to 350 of the family's 3401-position model. The record is from RNAcentral. Lineage: Eukaryota; Fungi; Ascomycota; Leotiomycetes; Helotiales; Erysiphaceae.
AUAUCAAUAAGCGGAGGAAAAGAAACCAACAGGGAUUACCUUAGUAACGGCGAGUGAAGCGGUAACAGCUCAAAUUUGAAAUCUGGCCCUUCUAGGGUCCGAGUUGUAAUUUGUAGACGAUGCUUUGGGUGUGGUGCCGGUCUAAGUUCCUUGGAACAGGACGUCAUAGAGGGUGAGAAUCCCGUAUGUGAUCGGUCGCCUCCGCCCGUGUAAAGCUCGUUCGACGAGUCGAGUUGUUUGGGAAUGCAGCUCAAAAUGGGUGGUAAAUUUCAUCUAAAGCUAAAUAUUGGCCAGAGACCGAUAGCGCACAAGUA